CUUCUCCAUCAUCAUCUAAUGAAUAUUGUGAUUAUCCUUUCUUUGACAUAUCUUGUAAGUCUGUGAAUCUCAAAUCUGAACUACUACAUGGUGGUCAUGGAUCAGAAUUGGAAUCUAGUAUCAAGAAAAAGAUCAUGAAUUUUCUUAACAUGUCUCAAAAUGAAUACUCAAUGGUUUUUACUGCUAAUAGAUCAUCAGCUUUCAAGCUUAUAGCAGAAUCUUACCCUUUCCAAACUAGUCGAAAGCAAUCAUGAAUUUUCUUAACACGUCUCAAAAUGAAUACUCAAUGGUUUUUACUGCUAAUAGAUCAUCAGCUUUCAAGCUUAUAGCAGAAUCUUACCCUUUCCAAACUAGUCGAAAGCUUCUUACAGUUUAUGACCAUG
Molecule: long non-coding RNA, 383 nt
Filed under: Nicotiana benthamiana
Lineage: Eukaryota; Viridiplantae; Streptophyta; Magnoliopsida; Solanales; Solanaceae
Description: long non-coding RNA (NBEN_LNC033221)
Source: RNAcentral